UGCUAAGUGUCUUGAUGGGCAGGAGA
RNAcentral lists this non-coding RNA (26 nucleotides) under Rattus norvegicus (Norway rat). The record is from RNAcentral. Lineage: Eukaryota; Metazoa; Chordata; Mammalia; Rodentia; Muridae.